RNAcentral lists this transfer-messenger RNA (381 nucleotides) under chicken gut metagenome. It matches the Rfam family "transfer-messenger RNA". Rfam says of the family: Bacterial tmRNA, also known as 10Sa RNA or SsrA, is named for its dual tRNA and mRNA-like properties. Its role is to liberate the mRNA from a stalled ribosome. To accomplish this part of the tmRNA is used as a reading frame that ends in a translation stop signal. The record is from RNAcentral.
GGGGGCGUUACUGGUUUCGACAGGAAGCGUUGGAUAAAGCGUAAAGCAUGUGGUAGUCGUCCAUGCCUACCUAAAAAUGGACAGCGAAAAUAAACGCAAACAACGAAAAUCGUUACGCUGCUGCAAUAGCUGCCUAACAAACAAUUUGUUCAACUAUUUUGAACAGCUCAGGUUUUAAUGUGGCUUAUUAAUUCUUGGGUUUUAAGUUUAGCCAAAAUUCUGCUGUAAGUUUGCCUUUCUAGCUGCAGAAAAAACAAAAGGCUGGUCAAAAUCGUUUGUUUAUGGACUAAAUUUUGACAAGAUCGCAAACAUAAACUAAACAUGUAGAAAAACUUUGUUCAAGUUUUUUGGAAGCGGGUUCAAAUCCCGCCGUCUCCACCA